This 407-nucleotide long non-coding RNA is filed under the name Sorghum bicolor (sorghum). RNAcentral describes it as "long non-coding RNA (SBIC_LNC013055)". The record is from RNAcentral. Lineage: Eukaryota; Viridiplantae; Streptophyta; Magnoliopsida; Poales; Poaceae.
GAGCCGUUUCCGGGGAACAAAGGAGCUACUGAGGAGGAGCCCUGCCAAACAUAUUUUUAAUCGUUUAGCCAACACCAAAAACUAUUUUUUCUAUUUUAAAACGCAUAUUUAGUUUUUAUUUUAUUUGACAUCAAAAGACAACUAAAGAUAACUUUAUUUGCAUCUUUGAAUAUUUUCAAGUCAACUUUGAACACUUAAAUUGCAUAGGGGCCGAGCGCAGAUAGUUAGAUUUAUUUUUUAAACAAAUAUAAUGGCAUGGGUGAGUAAAGAGAAAUACGUAUAAUGGCAUUUUUGUUUUUUUAUAAUGUAAGUGGUGGGUUAUUUAUCAGCACAUAGAUAGAUCGUUUUUUUUAUCUUUCUUAGUUAAUGUGAAAAUUUCAAGACCUUGAGAAAGACUCUCUGACCGU